AUUUCAUAUAUACAUGAACUAAAAACAUAUGUAGAACAAAUUUCAGAUCUAUGCAUACCUUCGUAUAUCGAAUAUAUGAUCUAAAAAUUAAAUUCAAAAUAAAUUUCAAAUUUAAAGAAAUUAUCUAUAUAUCUUAUAUAUCAAGAAAAAUUAGAUUUUAAAACUUUUUUCAAAACUAUGUAUAUCAAUUUCAUGCAUAUGAAAUCCAUGGCUUUGAUACCGCUAUUGAAAUUUCAUGUCAGGGUAUGCAUGUAUGUUUCAAUUUUUUUUUAAAUAAUGUAGUG
This 284-nucleotide long non-coding RNA is filed under the name Elaeis guineensis (African oil palm). RNAcentral describes it as "long non-coding RNA (EGUI_LNC038545)". The record is from RNAcentral. Lineage: Eukaryota; Viridiplantae; Streptophyta; Magnoliopsida; Arecales; Arecaceae.